Long non-coding RNA from Hyla sarda, 361 nucleotides. RefSeq lists it as uncharacterized. NCBI's taxonomy places the organism in Eukaryota, Metazoa, Chordata, Amphibia, Anura, Hylidae. The record is from RefSeq and is a predicted model, not a curated record. The transcript is spliced from 3 exons.
GUACCUGAUUUUGCGUAAAAGGGGUUGAACGUAGUAUAUUUGACCAGUGGAUUAGCUUUCUGUAAAUUUUAUAUUUUUGUGAUUGGUGGUAAUUAAUCCUAAACCAUCAGUCAUAGUGCAACUUGGAUGGCCUACCUUAGAAGUCUGCUCUCUUGCACACCUAAUACAGGAUCUAAAGAUCCUGAGAUAUGUGCCCCAGAAGAUCCUCUGCUGAAUUAAGUGAAUCGCACGCUGGGACGGAGCUUCACAGGGACGGGGCUUCGUUACUCGACUUCCCUAGGAUGGGGAGUCACAGACAAUAAAUAUGUAAAUUGAGCCCCAGUGCGCUAUUCAUAUUAUGCCAAUAUUACCCAGUGUAUUG